AUGAUGCAUUCUCCCGAUAUACCUUUAAAUGUGAAUAAGAAGAUUUUUCUAUUUUGAUCUUUUAUUUCCCUUUUAAAUUUAUUCCCUCUUCUUUUGCCUCUCUUUUACCUUUUUUAAUCCUUUUUUUGAGAAAGAGAGAGUUUAACUGUUGCUAAUAUUCUACGUAUUGGAAUAAGAAUAUCUGACUAUAAUAUUUGUUUCAAUGUUAUUGACAAUAUGUAUGAAGUAUGUUGCUAAUAGGACUCUGAUUAUUGCAACAUGAAAGACUGUGUAAGUGAAUGGACUAGUUCGCUGUUCCUUUUCUUCAAUGAACAUGGAAGUAAAUUGAG
Pelobates cultripes (western spadefoot toad) is the source of this 329-nucleotide non-coding RNA. Lineage: Eukaryota; Metazoa; Chordata; Amphibia; Anura; Pelobatidae. The record is from the annotation of a GenBank genome assembly.